RNAcentral lists this ribosomal RNA (197 nucleotides) under uncultured bacterium. Its description in RNAcentral is "partial 16S ribosomal RNA". It matches the Rfam family "Bacterial small subunit ribosomal RNA", at positions 328 to 539 of the family's 1533-position model. The record is from RNAcentral.
ACGCUCGACACCUACGGGAGGCGCAGUGGGGAAUAUUGCACAAUGGGGGAAACCCUGAUGCAGCGACGCCGCGUGGAGGAAGAAGGUCUUCGGAUUGUAAACUCCUGUUGUUGGGGAAAAAGAGGAUGGUACCCAACAAGGAAGUGACGGCUAACUACGUGCAAGCAGCCGCGGUAAUCUGAGCGGGCUGGCAAGGC